AUUGAACGCUGGCGGCAGGCCUAACACAUGCAAGUCGAACGAGUGGCGGACGGGUGAGUAAUGUCUGGGAAACUGCCCGAUGGAGGGGGAUAACUACUGGAAACGGUAGCUAAUACCGCAUACCAUCGGAUGUGCCCAGAUGGGAUUAGCUAGUAGGUGGGGUAACGGCUCACCUAGGCGACGAUCCCUAGCUGGUCUGAGAGGAUGACAAGACACACUGGAACUGAGACACGGUCCAGAAGACUACGGGAGGCAGGAGGGGGGAAUAUUGAGCGAAGGGCGAUAGACGGAGGGAGCCAAGCCACGUGUAGGAAGAAGGGGUUCGGGGUGUAAAGGAAUAUCCGUGAGGAGGCGGUAGUCGCAGAAGAAGGACCGGCGAACCCCGGGCCAGCAGCCGCGGUAAUUC
Molecule: ribosomal RNA, 406 nt
Filed under: uncultured bacterium
Lineage: Bacteria
Description: partial 16S ribosomal RNA
Rfam family: Bacterial small subunit ribosomal RNA
Source: RNAcentral